CGGUAAGGUGGAAACGGAUAGAGCUAGCGUAUCUAGCUUGUAUUCAGCUGCCCUGGUCUGGGUGCCCUGUCUGCUGGUCCGGCUUCGGCCAGUUGGCGGGUGUCUCCCGGCUCUUGGUGGUGCAUUUGCAAGUGGAGUGCGCUGAGGCCUGUGGGGUAGCGGUUGGAAGUGCGUCUUGAGGAUACCUUUCGGGGUAAAACCCGGGCGUACCUAAGACUGUUUGCCCUGCUUGUACAAUGAGCGUGGCCAACGGGUUUGGCUGGGGCUGAGCUGGUCGUCGGUUACGGUCGCAUGCGACACGUGCUGGUGUCUGGUUUGGUCUCGGUCCGGCUCCCUCGCUCGCCCUCGGUGUAAAAGCUAGUCAUCUAUCCGACCCGUCUUGAAACACGGACCAAGGAGUUUAGCGUAUACGCGAGUCAUUGAGUGGAAAACUCAAAGGCGCAAUGAAAGUAAAGGUAUCCCUUGUGGAGCUGAUAUGCGACCUCGGGUACCUC
RNAcentral lists this ribosomal RNA (494 nucleotides) under Scutylenchus quercinus. Its description in RNAcentral is "partial large subunit ribosomal RNA". It matches the Rfam family "Eukaryotic large subunit ribosomal RNA", at positions 406 to 761 of the family's 3401-position model. Lineage: Eukaryota; Metazoa; Nematoda; Chromadorea; Rhabditida; Merliniidae. The record is from RNAcentral.